This 78-nucleotide transfer RNA is filed under the name Myxococcales bacterium. Its description in RNAcentral is "tRNA-Pro". It matches the Rfam family "tRNA". Rfam says of the family: Transfer RNA (tRNA) molecules are approximately 80 nucleotides in length. Their secondary structure includes four short double-helical elements and three loops (D, anti-codon, and T loops). Lineage: Bacteria; Pseudomonadati; Myxococcota; Myxococcia; Myxococcales. The record is from RNAcentral. RNAcentral also lists the same sequence under 2 other names.
CGGGCCGUAGCGCAGCUUGGUUAGCGCGCCUGACUGGGGGUCAGGAGGUCGAGAGUUCAAAUCUCUCCGGCCCGACCA